This 494-nucleotide ribosomal RNA is filed under the name uncultured bacterium. RNAcentral describes it as "bacterial SSU rRNA". It matches the Rfam family "Bacterial small subunit ribosomal RNA", at positions 29 to 524 of the family's 1533-position model. The record is from RNAcentral.
AACGAACGCUGGCGGCGUGCCUAACACAUGCAAGUCGCGCGAGAAAAGGGAGCAAUCCCCUAGUAGAGCGGCGCACGGGUGAGUAACACGUAGAUAAUCUACCCCUGGGUCUGGAAUAACCUACCGAAAGGUGGGCUAAUACCGGAUAUGACCACGAGGGCUACGGCCCUUGAGGUGAAAGGUGGCCUCUUCUUGAAAGCUACCGCCUGAGGAUGAGUCUGCGCGCCAUUAGCUAGUUGGCGGGGUAAGAGCCCACCAAGGCGAUGAUGGCUAGCUGGUCUGAGAGGAUGACCAGCCACACUGGGACUGACACACGGCCCAGACUCCUACGGGAGGCAGCAGUGGGGAAUAUUGCGCAAUGGGCGAAAGCCUGAUCCAGCAAUGCCGCGUGAGUGAUGAAGGCCUUAGGGUUGUAAAGCUCUUUUACCCGGGAUGAUAAUGACAGUACCGGGAGAAUAAGCUCCGGCUAACUCCGUGCCAGCAGCCGCGGUAAU